RNAcentral lists this ribosomal RNA (232 nucleotides) under uncultured bacterium. RNAcentral describes it as "partial 16S ribosomal RNA". It matches the Rfam family "Bacterial small subunit ribosomal RNA", at positions 15 to 224 of the family's 1533-position model. The record is from RNAcentral.
GAUCAUGGCUCAGGACGAACGCUGGCAGCGUGCUUAACACAUGCAAGUCGAACGAAGAGCGAUGGAAGCUUGCUUCUAUCAAUCUUAGUGGCGAACGGGUGAGUAACGCGUAAUAAACCUGCCCUUCAGAGGGGGACAACAGUUGGAAACGACUGCUAAUACCGCAUACGAUCCAAUCUCGGCAUCGAGGAUGGAUGAAAGGUGGCCUCUAUUUAUAAGCUAUCACUGAAGG